UUUGUUUGAUUUUAGUAUAUAUAUAUAUAGGUUUUAUGGGCCCAAAAAAUAAAGCAUUGAUAUUUGGAGGAGAAAUCAACACUUUUUUAAAUGCAAAAUAUAAAUUGUUUAAUGGUACAAAUAUUAAGUGUAGAAACGGACAUGUACUUUUGUUUUCAUAAAAAGUGAGAUAUAUACGUAAACUGUAAAAGAUGUCAAUAAGUUUUUUAACUUCAACACUUGCACAUAUCAUGUCCAAAAUGUAGUGAAUUUAGCAAAAAAAUGCUGCUGAUGUUGCUUCUGUUUGAAACAGACAAACUUUUAGUUAACCAAACCACUAUUAAGCACUAUAUGAAAGAUUUGAAGAUUUAUAAAGCUUAAAAUACUGCGGGCUGAGUGGUCAAACCUUGAAAAAUCAGCAGAGUGAAAAGGUCUGUGAAGAAUAAAGAUGUGAAGACAAUGUGUUUCCUUAUUCUGUUAAUUAAUAAGGCGGAUAUUUGAACAUCAUUAGCAUCAAAAAAACUCAGGUGCAACUGCUAGGGACUGUUUCUAGCAUGUUUCUAGCAUCUAAACUAAAAGAAACUAUAUCUAGUACUGCAUAAAAAUUUGUUAUAUACAAUGACAAUUCUAUCACAGAGGAACUUUUGACUUCCAAUUCAGCAUUUUAAAUUCACCUUCUAUGAUUGCUGCUGCCGCAAUAUAUGCUGCAUGUAAAAGUCUGUCUUAUGAGCUUGGUCCCUCAUUACAAAAUCUGAAUUAGUUCAUUGGUUAAGAAAAAUAACUGGAGUAGAGGAGGAUUGUUUGGUAGAAUCUCUAAAAAGAUUGAUUUAUGUUUUGCGUACAAGUCUGUUAAAGGUUUGUGAAGAGCAACGAUGUGAAGACACUGUAUUUCCUCUCUUCCUUUAAUUUGUGAGAUUUGGUUUAUAUUCGAACCUAGUAAGUACUUAGAAAACUUAGGUGCAACUGCUAGAGAACACGCGUGUGUUUCUAAAAAUCUUAAAGAUCAAACAGACUCUAAUCAAGUACUAAAAUGGGAUUAUGUUUUUGUAAUUAUCAUCGGUUUAUUUCCUGUUGGUAUCUUUUUUAAAUCAACCUUAAUUCAAAGUUGUAAUUCAGUACCAAAUAAUUAUGCCAUAUUUAAUACAUCUUCAACAGUAUAUAACCAGUUGAUUCUCAACAACAGUUUGAGAUAAUAUCCUUUUAAUUGUCCAAAUCAAGGAAAUCGUGAGCUUCAUCUUCCGCCUUCGUAUUCAGGUAGUUUACAGCUAUUGCCAUAUCAAUUUUUUUUUGUAAAACUUUUCGUUGUAUGCACACUCACUGCGCCUAUCCCUAAAUUAGUGGAUGUAUGUACACUCACUGCGCCUAUCCCUAAAUCAGUCGAUGUAUGUCACUCACUGCGCCUAUUCCUAAAUCAGUCGAUGUAUGUACACCACGGCGAUCUAUACUGCAGGCCUUGCCAACGCAAAAAACGUAUUUCAUUGGGGGCCUAUUUUAAGCUGUACUUAACUAUAAUCGCCAUUUUAGUGAUAUUGAAAUAUGGGUAAAAAGUGUUGUAUUUAUGGCUGUACCACAAAUUAUUUAUCGGCUAAAAAGAAAUCUGAUAAUUUAAAGAUCUCAGUAUAUCGAUUUCCUAAAAAUGAAGAUGAAAAACAAAUGUGGAUUAAAGUAAUUCCAAAUGCAAAUCUAAAGGUAACUAAUGACACUGUAGUUUGUGAGUUGCAUUGGCCAAUAAAUUUUGAAAAACAACAAGUUAGAGAAAAAUUUCGUCCUAAAUUUCCACCAUCUGUUUGGCCAGGCAUACCGUCUUGUCAAAUUCCCACUCAACCUCCUCCAUUACGUUCAACAAAUAGCGCCUCUUCAUGUAUUCGAAAUUUUGCUCAAGAUGAAUUAUCAGCCUUUUUAGAAAAAGAUAGAGUAACUUUUGCUGAAAUGAAAGAAAUUCUUUUAUGUAAUGAAAGAGAUUUGGGUGUUCCAUCAGUAUGUUUUAUGAUUAAUAGCAUUAUUCAUUUGCAAUCACAAGCUUAUUCAAAUGGGGUUCCAUAUUUUUUAAUCAAGAUUAGAGACGAUUUACAUUUUGAAACUUAUCACUAUGUAGUCAAAAUUAAAAUUCCUACAAUUUCUAAAAACAGAGUUUCAAAAAUUAAUGCAUGGUCAAUAUUAGAAGAAGUCCUACGUUAUUUAAAGAGUUUGAUUCCUGGAAGAAAAGAAAUUGUAAUUCAAAAACAUUUAGCUUCUAUGAGUACACAGUGUGUUGGAAAUAAGAUUUAUUCUAAAGUUAUUAUUAGAUCUUUUCAGUAUUUUGCUACAUCCAGAAGUUUGUAUAAUCAAUUGCGAACAGAUUACCAAUUGUCUUCUGUAAGAACUUUGACAAGAAUAACUUCAAAAGUUUCUAAAUUAAACGAAAAACUUUUUUUCACUAAUAUUUUUCAAUCUAUUGAAGAAAAACAGAAAAUUUGUUUGUUAUUGCAUGACAAGGUUUAUGUUAAAAAAAUGUUGUUAUAUCUUGGUGGUACAUUGUUCGGAAAAGCAAUGGAUGAUUCAACUUCUCUUGCAAAAACUGUAUUGGGUUUAAUGGUUAAUUUUUUAUUCGGUGGACCAUCGUUCAUUUCCAAAAUGAUACCUAUAAGUAAAUUAAACUCUCAAUUUCUUUUCGAACAAAUUAGCAUUACUAUUUAAUCAAUAAAGGAAUCAUCGGGUCAAGUCAAAGCCAUAAUAUGUGAUGGAAAUAGAAUUAAUCAGGCUUUUUUUAAAAUCUUCGAAUUCACAGUUUCAAGUAAACCUUGGUUGACUAAUAAUGGUGUUUUCUUAAUCUUUGAUUAUGUACAUUUGCUUAAAAACAUUAGAAAUAAUUGGCUUACUGAAAAAACUGGUCAACUUAUAUUUUAUGAUAAAGGGGUACAAAAAGUAGCACAAUGGGAUCACCUGAAAAAACUUUAUGAACUUGAAUCUAAAAACUUAGUUAAAUUGUCUAAUUUAAACGAAGUUUCAAUAUUUCCGAAGCCAAUCGAGAGGCAGUCAGUGUCUACCUGUUUAAGGAUAUUUUGUGACAAAACUUACCAUGCUUUGAUUAAUCAUCCAGGACUGCAGCAUAUAAAAGAAAGACAAGACACAGCAGAUUUUAUUAACAUUGUCGUAUCAUGGUGGAAAGUUCUUAAUGUUAAAGGAACAGGUGCAGAUGUUAGGUUUAAUGAUGAACUUCAAGCAGUUAUUAGAGAUCCUAAUGAUAAUAGAUUAGAAAAUAUUUUAGAUUUCGGAAAUAUGGCUUUAAAGAUGGCUGGAAAGCAAGGUAAAAGGAAGAAACAACUUACUUGUGACACUGCACAAUCAAAUUACCAUACGUGCAAUGGUGUUGUUGAAUUAUGUCGUUCAUUAUUGAAUAGCUCACACCAAUAUGUUAUUCUUAGUGAGUUUUCUACUGAUCCAUUGGAAAAAGAGUUUAGCAAAUUGCGACAAGGUUCCGGAGGUACAUAUUUUAUAACAGUACAACAGGUAAUUGAAAAACUGAAUAUUUCAAGAGCCAAGCUUUUACUAUCUCUUAAUAACCCAGCUGUUCACAUAUGUCUUGAUACAACCCAUUCUUGUCCAAAUUGUGGUUUUUUAUUGGAUGAGUCCUCUGCUGAGAUAUUUGACAACCUGCCAAAUCUUGAAUCUUUUAUUUCUUCUGAUACAAAUAUGGCACUUAUAUACAUUCCAGGAUAUUUAACUCGUAAAGAUAAUGAACUAUCAGAAAAUGAGCUGCUAGAAAAAACAACUUUCUACCACCAAAAGUUUGGACAAACAUAGACUCAAUUGACCGUGGUGGACUUAAUAUUCCCACAGAUAAUACCUGUCAAUGGGUAAUUUUCGCUCUACACUACUACUGGAUCUUUAGGAAUAUAUAUAUAUAUGGUUUUUGUUUUUGG
Hydra vulgaris (swiftwater hydra) is the source of this 3881-nucleotide long non-coding RNA. RefSeq lists it as uncharacterized. The record is from RefSeq and is a predicted model, not a curated record. NCBI's taxonomy places the organism in Eukaryota, Metazoa, Cnidaria, Hydrozoa, Anthoathecata, Hydridae.